Molecule: ribosomal RNA, 627 nt
Filed under: uncultured Antithamnionella sp.
Lineage: Eukaryota; Rhodophyta; Florideophyceae; Ceramiales; Ceramiaceae
Description: bacterial SSU rRNA
Rfam family: Bacterial small subunit ribosomal RNA
Source: RNAcentral
UAACGCGGCGGUAUGACAACGAUGCAAGUCGAACGAAAGUUAUACUUUAGCUGGCGGACGGGUGAGUAAUACGGAGAAUCUACCUUUAGGAAGGGAAUAACAAUUGGAGACGAUUGCUAAUGCCCUAUAUGCUUAGCAGUGAAACAGAUUUAUCUGCCUGAAGAUGAGCUCGCGCCUGAUUAGCUAGUUGGUAGAGUAAAAGCCUACCAAGGCAACGAUCAGUAGCUGGUUUGAGAGGACGAUCAGCCACACUGGGACUGAGACACGGCCCAGACUUCUACGGAAGUGCAGCAGUGGGGAAUUUUCCGCAAUGAGCGAAAGCUUGACGGAGCAAUACCGCGUGAGGGAAGAAUGCCUGUGGGUUGUAAACCUCUUUUUAUAGGGAAGAAAAUAUGACGGUACCUAAAGAAUAAGCAUCGGCUAACUCCGUGCCAGCAGCCGCGGUAAUACGGGGGAUGCAAGCGUUAUCCGGAAUUACUGGGCGUAAAGCGUCUGCAGGUGGCUUUAAAAGUCUGCUGUUAAAUAUUAGAGCUCAACUCUGAGUAAGCAGUGGAAACUGUUAGGCUAAAGUAUGGUAUGGGUAAAGGGAACUCCCAGAGUAGACGUUAAAAUGCGUAAAUAUUUCUC